This 431-nucleotide long non-coding RNA is filed under the name Rosa chinensis. RNAcentral's name for it is "sRNA RchiOBHm_Chr0c44g0503521". The record is from RNAcentral. Lineage: Eukaryota; Viridiplantae; Streptophyta; Magnoliopsida; Rosales; Rosaceae.
UCUCUUCCUUGUUAGAGGCUUUUCUAUAUGUGGAAUGCUCAAGUAUAUUAAUAUGUUGCCUGCAAGUGCGUUUUUGGUUGUUCAUUGGUCGAUGUCUCGUGAUAUCUGUGUUUUCAUAACUGAUAAUUGCUUAUUGUGAAAACCGAGGCUAGACUUGCAUGUUGAGAUACUAUUCCUAGGGAUCCCACGGUGUCGAUAACCGUGAACCUCCAGAGGGGGCUGUGCUCCUAUGUUUGUCUAGGAAAGGUGAGUACAGACAGUAAACCAGUCAUAGGAGACUCAGAGGCAGGAAAUGGACACUUUCGCUACUUGUAGUCAUAAGACUACAGAGUAGUUGGCCGGUUCUCGAAGGAUGACGAACCAGGUCGGUCACAUAUUUAUUUUAGUUUAGCCGGCAGGUAAGUAUCUCGGAGCUCCAAAUUGUGUGAAGC